Molecule: long non-coding RNA, 3508 nt
Filed under: Coffea arabica (coffee)
Lineage: Eukaryota; Viridiplantae; Streptophyta; Magnoliopsida; Gentianales; Rubiaceae
Description: long non-coding RNA (CARA_LNC000469)
Source: RNAcentral
UCUUCUUCUUUCUUUCUUUCCUUUCUUUCUUUCUUCCCCACUGCCCUGCUUCCCUUUUCUUUUAUUUCUUCUUUCGGCCGCCCUCCAUCCGCCUCACCACCUUGCACGCCGCCGCUCGGCCACCCUCGCAGCCGAGCAGCGCAGCUCGUUUCUCUCCGCUACUACCCGCCACGCGCCACCGUCUCCCUUACUCUCUCCAACCCCACCAAUCUCCCUUUCUCAUCCAUUGCCGCACGCCGCUGACCAGCUUCUAUCGCCGCUGCCUCCGAGCUCCAAGCUCCACCUCACGGACCACCUUCAGCAGCUCCAAAGUUCGCCGCCAGCUCCCAGCCGCACCUGCCUCGCAGCUCCCCCUCUGCUCUCUCUCCACUUCGCGUGCCUCCGCCAUCGACCUCCACCAGCACCCGAGCUUGCGCUAUACCAGAAGCGUUCGCCGCCGCCCCUGCUCUCACUCUCUCCGACGCCACCAGCAGCCGCGGAGCUGCCCGCCGUUCCCCUCACUCUCCCUUUCAAGCUCAUGCUCUGCCGCGGCAGACCGUCACACCAUUCCCACAUGUCCAAAUUGACAGGUGGAGGUAUUGACUCGUCAACCUCGAUUAGUAUUCUGCUGGUCCUACUAUGGCUGGAAUUUGCGCUUUUGUUUCGUGGGUUUCUUGAUAGCUAAAAGCAGGGGGUGAUUUAGGCAUUUUUUUUUUUGGGUUAAUUUUGGUGGAACUGAGUUUAUUUGCUGCUCCAUUUGGGGAUAUUCUCUGGUAUUGAUUACAUUGUUGUGCAUUAAUUGGGUUUCGCCUACUUGAAGCCUCUAUUUUCAUCUGUGGGGAUUAAAUUUGAGUUGGCUAUGUGCUUUAGUUUUUCUCUGUGCGGGCACCAGAGGUACUGGUUGUGGUGUUGACUAAAAUUUCUUAAUCCUUGAUGCUUGACUGCCUACUCAACUCUUGGGUUUUAGUGCUUAAAUUGUUUCUCGAAAUCUAAACGGUCGUUGCUAGAAUUGCCUGUUGCUUCGCUUAAUUGCUGAUUUUGGCAGGUUGAAUUGGGGAAUUGACUGUCCAAUUGGAGGCAGCUGUUACCAUUUUGGGACCAAUUGUGUCUAUUUUGCUGUGAUUUGUGUCUAAUUGUGGGUAAUUUGCUUGUUAAAUUGGGAGGUGCCUAUAACGCUGAAAUUUGCUUAUUGAAGUUAGUUGCCUCUGAUUGUCUUGUUUAGGAGCAUUUUAUUCUUUUGGUUUCCUUUACUAAGCUAUUUGGAGCACUUGUUGCAUGAUUGGACUGCCUUGAUUCUGAAUUUGACUACAUUUGGACCACAGGGGCUCAUUGAUUGCAUUUGUUAUUAGUGUUGAGGUAUUCGUAUAACCUGUGGGUGAUUGAAUUGUGCCUAUUGUUCAUUGGGUUGGUUUUAAACAAAAAAUUGUUAUUACUUUGAAAUUCCUGUUUCCAUUAUCUGUUGGCAAUUGUAGUCCCUUGUGAUUAGAGUGACAUCUAGAGAUCAUGGUAAGGCCAAGAUCCGCUUCUAGGUUUAGGACACCUAGACACUCGCAGCCUCCUCCUACCCCAGGGGCUGACGAAUGGCACCGGCUCCAGAUGCGAGUUGAGCGACUAGUGACUUGGAUGACCCACAUUGACGUCAACCUGCAUCACAUGCGCAGAAUUUGGCAGCAUUUAUGCCCCAUGCAGGCCUUGAUCCUCAAUUUCCACCUGAACCGCCCCUGUUUUGAUGACUUCAGGGAAGUACCGUUGCCCCUCUCUUUUCUUCUGUUUUUACAUUAUCACAUUGAGGGCAAUGUGUGACUUAGGUGUGGGGGGGUCAGUUUUGGGUGCUAGUAUUUUCAAUUUUCGAUUUUUAGGUGUUUUUCCUUUAUUUUUAGUUUGAUAUUUAUCCCCUUUUUCGUUUAUUUUCUUUUCUUUUUUCUAGUGGUCAGUCUUCAUAUGAAUACCAAGUUUUGAUGCCGGAUUGUUGUCCCUAAUUCUGUUAUUGCCAAGUUUUAGUGAUAAAAAGGUAUCAAGUUAAUGUGGUUGAGUUCAAGAACAUCUCUUUGGUGAAUAGCAAUAAUUGCUUAACUUUUCCAAUUUUUGGUUAACUUUUCUAGGCAUAGGGAAUGAUUGUUGGCAUUUUUCAUGUGAAUUGGUCCAGUUAUUAAUUUUAGUUCUCCAUGUCUGAAAAUUUGAGGCUAGCUGCUGUUAUUCUUGUGUUACUUUUAGAUAUCGUGCUAUAUGGUUGUAAAUAAGAGUUGACUGUACUCCGCUAGUAGUUACUACUGAGUAACCGGAGAUCUUCACCUAAAGUGUUGAUCUUCGUGUCAAAAGGUAGUAGUUGCUAUGAGUGCGUGGUCCCGUAGCAAUUAGAGCUGAGUAACCGGGCUCCUCCAUCUGUGAAAUGUUGGAGUUCGCGUCAAAAGGUUCUAAGGGUUAUAGACUAAGUCUUUUGUUACUCAAAAAAAAAAAUAAAAAAAACAAAAAAAAAUACCAAAAAAAAAGUAAAGAUUGUGUUAGUAUGUGAAUAAGUCAGCUUGCCGGUUUGUGAUCUUAAUGUCGAGAUUUUGGUUAAUAGCUGGACCAUUUACUGAUAAAUGUGAGCAACCAUUCCUUUUUCUUAGAUUAGUUUGCUUUAAAUUGGAGGAGUUGGUGGUUGAGAAGCUAACCGGAGUGGUUUUUCUUGGAUCUUAACUGUGAUGCUUGAUAUAUGUUUUUCUGGGUAUCUUGGCAAUAUGAUAGUUAGAGCAAUAGCCAUAGUCAAAUUUUGGUGUUCAAUUGCUGUUCUUAUGCUUGAGGACAAGCAUGAUUUAGGUGUGGGGGGAAUUGAUAGGGCAUAAUUUGUUGUUAAUUUUAUGGUUAAUUUCCCUCUUUAUCUUUGCCAAAUAUUGUUUUAAUUAGUAAUAUUUACUUAUAUUUGGUAUUUGGACUUAAUUCCAGGGAUUGGAGCAAGAAACUACAAAAAAAGUAGGGACUUGCUCCAUAAGUGGAAGACUUCAAGAAGGCUCCAUCGACCUGGCCCACAAAGAGAGGAAGAGACGGACUGCAUUUGCUUUCUGAUUAGGAGAUUAGACCUCUACUGGCAAUAGGAAACAAGGAGCAAUUCAGCAGGACCCCACCUUGUGGACUUUGUUUCUCUCAAUACGGCAGAGUUUCCUUCUUGGACUUUGACUCUUAAUUCGGCAGGGCUCCAAUUCUUUUGCUACUUGACUUCUAAUCCGUGGGGAUCACUAGAUAGCAUGAGUCAUUUCCCUUUGGCUUUAAAAAGACAAACGUGUAGAAGGUUUUCUAAUCACUAGUUUUAGAGCUUUUGAGCAUAGUUUAGUUUUAUUCUUUCUUGGUUCCUUUGAUGGCCAGGACUUCAGUUAAAUUACUUGGAGAUUUUCUCAUGAGGCGUGGCUAAGUUUUUCUAGUCGAAGGUCAAUUUGAGGAUUCGGUUUCGAAUAUCUGUGAGAUCUAAUUAUUUUAUUUAUUUCUUUUAUUUAUUGGUAUUUGUGCGUUUUCUGAUUUAAUUGCUUAUGCUUGUUAUGUUAUUUGAAUGUCA